CUUUUCCUACGGGGCGCAGCAGUGAGGAAUAUUGGUCAAUGGGCGAGAGCCUGAACCAGCCAAGUCGCGUGAGGGACGACGGCCCUACGGGUUGUAAACCUCUUUUGCCGGGGGACAAACGGCGGCACGCGUGCCGUCCUGAGGGUACCCGGAGAAAAAGCAUCGGCUAACUCCGUGCCAGCAGCCGCGGUAAUACGGAGGAUGCGAGCGUUAUCCGGAUUUAUUGGGUUUAAAGGGUGCGCAGGCGGAAGAUCAAGUCAGCGGUAAAAUUGAGAGGCUCAACCUCUUCGAGCCGUUGAAACUGG
Molecule: ribosomal RNA, 305 nt
Filed under: uncultured bacterium
Lineage: Bacteria
Description: bacterial SSU rRNA
Rfam family: Bacterial small subunit ribosomal RNA
Source: RNAcentral